RNAcentral lists this ribosomal RNA (899 nucleotides) under uncultured bacterium. RNAcentral describes it as "bacterial SSU rRNA". It matches the Rfam family "Bacterial small subunit ribosomal RNA", at positions 21 to 899 of the family's 1533-position model. The record is from RNAcentral.
GGCUCAGAACGAACGCUGGCGGCGUGGCUAAGACAUGCAAGUCGUACGGAUUAGGUUAUUGAGCAAUCAAUGCCUGGUCAGUGGCGAAAGGGUGCGUAAUAGAUAGGUAAUGUACCUCAGUCUCUGGAAUAGCGCCGUUACGGGCAACCGUAACUACCGAAAGGGGCGAUAAUACCAGAUAAUAUUAUUGGUUGACGGACUAAUAAUCAAAGAUACGUUGGACUGAGAGCAGCCUAUCUCCUAUCAGCUAGUUGGUGAGGUAAUGGCCCACCAAGGCUGUGACGGGUAGCGGGGCUGAGAGGUCGGCCCGCCUCAUCGGGACUGAGACACUGCCCGGACCUCCACGGAGGGCUGCAGUAACGAAUAUUGGGCAAUGGGCGAAAGCCUGACCCAGCGACGCCGCGUGUGGGAGGAAGUCCUUCGGGAUGUAAACCACUUUUAGGUUUAAGAAAGGUAGCCGCAAGGCUAUUUGAUCUAUGCCAGAAAAAGUCACGGCUAACUCUGUGCCAGCAGCCGCGGUAAGACAGAGGUGGCGAGCGUUGUUCGGUGUCACUGGGCUUAAAGCGUGUGUAGGCGGCCUGAAUAGUCCUUUGUGAAAUACCUCGGCUUAACCGAGGAACUGCUUGGGAUACUUUCAGGCUUGAGGCAGGUAUGGGUGCGGGGAACGGUUGGUGGAGCGGUGGAAUGCGUAGAUAUCAACCGGAACGCCGGCGGUGAAGACGCUGCACUGGGCCUGUUCUGACGCUGAGACACGAAAGCGUGGGUAUAAAACGGGAUUAGAUACCCCGGUAUUCCACGCCCUAAACGAUGUCUACUAGGCUGGGGAGGUUCUGACGCCGCCCUGGCCGAAGCAAAAGUGUUAAGUAGACCGCCUGGGGAGUACGGUCGCAAGGCUAAAA